Anas platyrhynchos (mallard) is the source of this 1032-nucleotide non-coding RNA. The record is from RefSeq and is a predicted model, not a curated record. Lineage: Eukaryota; Metazoa; Chordata; Aves; Anseriformes; Anatidae.
UACCUGUGAUGCUUCUGGAGGCUUCGUAUUAAUACACUCUGCAGCCAGCGAGUCAGCCCGUUUGGUUUCCCAGAAGACCGCAAGACAUUGCAAAAUAUCGGAAGUUUCUGGGGGAGGAACAGGGGAGGUCCUGAGCAGUCCCUGAGCCAGCAGAGAUCGCUGCAGCAAGACCAAGCGGCUGGAAGCUGAACUCAGUCAUCUUCCAAGGGAAAGUGAAGCACAGCUCUUUGUGGCAGCAGGCACAGCUAGGAUGGGAUGUUCCAUAAACCUUCCCGAUGAGACAAAACCCACGAAAUCACCAUGUGAAGCCUGCGGAGCAGACGCCCCUCUGUGACCGCAGGGACUUGGUGGCCUGUCCCCAGCUGCCGAGGGGCAGUGAGGGUCGGGACGGGAGCACCAGGCACAGAGGUGUGGGUUGGGGCCGCUCCUCAGCCCCCUCGUGCCAGCAGCACAAACACCCCCCAGCUGCUCUCGCAUCCCCGCGCCGCCUCCUGCUCCAGGCGCCUCCCGCCAGGAAAUGCAGCGAGUAACUUCUGAGCCAGGGGAAGUCUUGGUGGUGAGCACUGCGAGCAAGCUGACUGCACCAGCGGUCACGUGGGGCCGAAAUUUGGAGGAUGGUUUCGUGCACGGAGAAGCUGUUUGCUGUGCAGGCAGAAACGAAAUAAGCAGAGUAACAGGAAGACGGAGACGGUCAAGGCUUCGGCUGUGUAGCGGUUGUUCCUCCAGAGCUGAGGUUGUGCUUUAAACAACCGGCAUAUCCCCAGCACGGCGUACGACGUUUGGGACAGGAGGAGAUCUCGUGGCGUCCUGUGUACAGGUGGCACUGUAAGACAGGGUCAUCCUGGGGAAGAGUGGCCAUAAGGAAGGGCAGCGGGGCCUGCAACCACUGCUUGUUCUCCCUGGAUUGUCAAUGUAUGAAUAUCAUGAUCAUAAACAUAUCUAAAUGAAAAGAGAGCCAUUCAGAUGAUAUAAUGCCAUCAAUAACCCUGACAGUAAAGAACAUGGGAAUAAAGGCUAUGGGAAGAGUUUUCA